Molecule: ribosomal RNA, 403 nt
Filed under: Verrucomicrobiota bacterium
Lineage: Bacteria; Pseudomonadati; Verrucomicrobiota
Description: Verrucomicrobia bacterium partial 16S ribosomal RNA
Rfam family: Bacterial small subunit ribosomal RNA
Source: RNAcentral
UGGGGAAUAUUGCACAAUGGGCGCAAGCCUGAUGCAGCAACGCCGCGUGAACGAUGAAGGUCUUCGGAUCGUAAAGUUCUGUUGCAGGGGAAGAUAAUGACGGUACCCUGUGAGGAAGCCCCGGCUAACUACGUGCCAGCAGCCGCGGUAAUACGUAGGGGGCUAGCGUUAUCCGGAUUUACUGGGCGUAAAGGGUGCGUAGGUGGUCUUUCAAGUCGGUGGUUAAAGGCUACGGCUCAACCGUAGUUAGCCUCCGAAACUGGAAGACUUGAGUGCAGGAGAGGAAAGUGGAAUUCCCAGUGUAGCGGUGAAAUGCGUAGAUAUUGGGAGGAACACCAGUAGCGAAGGCGACUUUCUGGACUGCAACUGACACUGAGGCACGAAAGCGUGGGUAGCAAACAGG